This 27-nucleotide non-coding RNA is filed under the name Bombyx mori (domestic silkworm). The record is from RNAcentral. Lineage: Eukaryota; Metazoa; Arthropoda; Insecta; Lepidoptera; Bombycidae.
UAGUGAUAUGGAUGUAAUCCAGCUAUA